RNAcentral lists this ribosomal RNA (253 nucleotides) under uncultured bacterium. RNAcentral describes it as "partial 16S ribosomal RNA". It matches the Rfam family "Bacterial small subunit ribosomal RNA", at positions 524 to 776 of the family's 1533-position model. The record is from RNAcentral.
UACGGGGGGGGCAAGCGUUGUUCGGAUUUACUGGGCGUAAAGGGCGUGCAGGCGGUUUGUUAAGUGCAGGGUGAAAGCUCCCGGCUCAACUGGGAGAGGUCCUUGCAUACUGGCAGACUUGAGGGAGGCAGGGGAAAGUGGAAUUCCCGGUGUAGUGGUGAUAUGCGUAGAUAUCAGGAGGAACACCGAUUGCGAAGGCAGCUCGCUGGGACGUUACUGACGCUGAGACGCGAAAGCGUGGGGAGCAAACAGG